This 399-nucleotide RNase P RNA is filed under the name Sporosarcina limicola. Its description in RNAcentral is "Filibacter limicola Bacterial RNase P class B". It matches the Rfam family "Bacterial RNase P class B". Rfam says of the family: Ribonuclease P (RNase P) is a ubiquitous endoribonuclease, found in archaea, bacteria and eukarya as well as chloroplasts and mitochondria. The record is from Rfam by way of RNAcentral. Lineage: Bacteria; Bacillati; Bacillota; Bacilli; Caryophanales; Caryophanaceae.
UAAUUUAGGUAAUCGCUGCAACGCUUGACGUUGUAGAGGAAAGUCCAUGCUCACACGGCUCUGAGAUGACCGUAGUGUUCGUGCUCGGCGAAAGAAUAAGCCGUGGCUUCGCGCUUGCGCGUAGACGGCGGGAAUAAGUCCUAAGUUUGAGAAGGUUUACCUUGUUGAAUAUGGAUUAGGUUCCCUGAACAGUGCCACAGUGACGUAGUCGGCUCGGAAACGGGUCGAAUGGAACGCGGUAAACCCCACGAGUGAGAAACCCAAAUUAUGGUAGGGGCAUUCUUCUGAAGGAAAUGAACUGAUGAAGGAACAGACGCUUGUCUGUAGAUAGAUGAUUACCACCCUAAGUACGAGGCGUAAGCCGUUUGAGUACUCGGGAACAAAACAUGGCUUAUCGAA